This 442-nucleotide ribosomal RNA is filed under the name uncultured bacterium. RNAcentral describes it as "partial 16S ribosomal RNA". It matches the Rfam family "Bacterial small subunit ribosomal RNA", at positions 338 to 795 of the family's 1533-position model. The record is from RNAcentral.
CCUACGGGUGGCAGCAGUGGGGAAUAUUGGGCAAUGGACGCAAGUCUGACCCAGCAACGCCGCGUGAAGGAAGAAGGCUUUCGGGUUGUAAACUUCCUUUUAGGGGGAAGAGCAGAAGACGGUACCCCUUGAAUAAGCCAUGGCUAACUACGUGCCAGCAGCAGCGGCAAUACGUAGGUGGCCAGCGUUGUCCGGAUUUACUGGGUGUAAAGGGCGUGCAGCCGGUGAGACAAGUCAGAUGUGAAAUCCACGGGCUCAACCCGUGAACUGCAUUUGAAACUGUUUCGCUUGAGUGUCGGAGAGGUAAUCGGAAUUCGUGGUGUAGCGGUGAAAUGCGUAGAUAUAAGGAAGAACACCAGUGGCGAAGGCGGAUUACUGGACGAUAACUGACGGUGAGGCGCGAAGGCGUGGGGAGCGAACAGGAUUAGAUACCCCUGUAGUC